Molecule: ribosomal RNA, 468 nt
Filed under: uncultured bacterium
Lineage: Bacteria
Description: partial 16S ribosomal RNA
Rfam family: Bacterial small subunit ribosomal RNA
Source: RNAcentral
GACGAACGCUGGCGGCGUGCUUAACACAUGCAAGUCGAACGGAAAGGCCCUGCUUUUGUGGGGUGCUCGAGUGGCGAACGGGGGAGUAACACGUGAGUAACCUGCCCUUGACUUUGGGAUAACUUCAGGAAACGGGGGCUAAUACCGGAUAGGAGCUCCUGCUGCAUGGGGGGGGUUGGAAAGUUUCGGCGGUUGGGGAUGGACUCGCGGCUUAUCAGCUUGUUGGUGGGGUAGUGGCUUACCAAGGCUUUGACGGGUAGCCGGCCUGAGAGGGUGACCGGCCACAUUGGGACUGAGAUACGGCCCAGACUCCUACGGGAGGCAGCAGUGGGGAAUAUUGCACAAUGGGCGGAAGCCUGAUGCAGCAACGCCGCGUGCGGGAUGACGGCCUUCGGGUUGUAAACCGCUUUCGCCUGUGACGAAGCGUGAGUGACGGUAAUGGGUAAAGAAGCACCGGCUAACUACGUG